AUGUUUUAUUAAAAAAAAGAACUUACAGAGUAUUUAUACACAACUAUUUAUGAGGUUAUAAUCCUGUAGAUAGAGAGCAGUGGAGGCUGCCGGGAGGAGAUAUAGGAGGUUGGGCUCAUUGUAAUGGCUGGAAUGGUAUAAAUGGAACAAAGUUGUGGUUUCCAUAUGUUUGAUACCGUUCCAUUGAUUCCCUUCCAGCCAUUACAAUGAGCCCAUCCUCCUUAAGCUCCUCCCAGCAGCCUCCUCUGACAGAGAGCGUCUGUCUUGUGACAAGCAUGCCCACUUCACAAUGCAGAGUAAACGAGAGGAGAAAAUGUAGAAGAGAGGGGAUGAGGGAGGGAGGGAGGAAGAGGACUGAAAUUCACAUAAGACCAAGGACAGAUAAAAAAUUAAAAAACACCCUCGACUUUCAAGUAGUAGACAGGUACCAAAUACAGUUCCUACAAUGUUUUUUUGUUAAGACAUUUUCCAUGCCGUGUGUCCAAUGUCCCCUGUAGUGAAAGCAAUAGGACUGUGUCUGGGUGUGGUGCAUUCCACUCUGGAGAAGCACAAAGACAGAACGUGAGGUGCACAUGAUGAAUCGAGCCCCUCCACACCAGGUGCAUGCAAGACAAGUGCAUGGGAGAGGUGCAGUACAGUCAACACAGGGGUCAGGGGUGACGCCACGAAACAGGACUAGGGGGGGAGCCGAUGGUUGAUCAGAUGGAAGCCAGGCCUCUACUUUCCCCUCUAAUGUAAUAGUCUGGACAGAAGCCACCAGCUGAGUCCCUCAGUAAUGACUUCACUACCCACAAAGUGUGGUUGGGUGUGUGUGUGGGGCUAUGUACCACUAUGUGGUUUGGCCCCCUCCCACCUCGAUAUUACUUGGAACAGGUUGACUUGGACAGUGUUGAUUGUGUGUUGGGGGGAAAUUAGAUCUCACAUUGGGUCAGUGUUGAUAGUGUGUUGGGGGGGAAUUAGAUCUCACAUUGGGUCAGUGUUGAUAGUGUGUUGGGGGGAAUUAGAUCUCACAUUGGGUCAGUGUUGAUAGUGUGUUGGGGGGGAAUUAGAUCUCACAUUGGGUCAGUGCUGAUAGUGUGUUGGAGGAAAUUAGAUCUCACAUUGGGUCAGUGUUGAUAGUGUGUUGGGGGGGAAUUAGAUCUCACAUUGGGUCAGUGCUGAUAGUGUGUUGGGGGGGAAUUAGAUCUCACAUUGGGUCAGUGUUGAUAGUGUGUUGGGGGAAUUAGAUCUCACAUUGGGUCAGUGUUGAUAGUGUGUUGGGGGGGGAAUUAGAUCUCACAUUGGGUCAGUGCUGAUAGUGUGUUGGGGGGGAAUUAGAUCUCACAUUGGGUCAGUGUUGAUAGUGUGUUGGGGGGAAUUAGAUCUCACAUUGGGUCAGUGUUGAUAGUGUGUUGGGGGGGAAUUAAAUCUCACAUUGGGUCAGUGUUGAUAGUGUGUUGGGGGGGAAUUAGAUCUCACAUUGGGUCAGUGUUUAUAGUGUGUCAGGGGAAAUUAGAUCUCAUUGGUACACCUAUGGUCUAAUGUAUUUAAAAGAGCGAGGGGCUAAAAAUCUAAUCAAGCAGUAAAACUUUCACAAUCUUUUCAAAAAUAAUGUUGAAUCAAAGUUGCAACGGAAGCACACUCAUGUUUAUUGGAGAUUUUUGGAUUGUAAGUGUCAUUGAGUCCUCGACUUGGGAAUUAAAAACAAGCAGAAAAACAAAGGUUAUAAAUAGUCCUCAUCACUGAAUUAGUUUGGGGGGGGAAUAAAAAAAAAAGAGUGAAAGAAAACAAAACUGUUUCCCAUAGCAACAGACCACAGCUGAGUACAUGUCGUCUUUGGAUCACCCUGUUUGUGGGAACAUUGACACUUCUGCUUGAAAAUAAAACAACAUAGUUAUAACAAGGACAACACUCUUUAAAAAUACCAAAAUAUCACAUUUUCUCCCCUAUGCAAGUGUCCAAACACAAAAUGGCCUCCAUUGCCUUUCUCCACUUAUUCUGAUGGGAUUUAUUUCUCUGUCUUUUUCACUUUAGUACAAUACUGCAUAAAUGUGGAAAAAACAGAAUCAUUAAAUCCAAACUGAAUACUUAAAACAGAAAGAAAGUUCAAGUUCUAAUUCUCUUCAGCAUGACACAAUUUGGCUGAAGCCUAAGUACAUACACCUUUGUUUUAACAGCGGUGCCUGUAAAUGAUUAGAUUAAAAACGAGAAAGGAAAGCGAAGGUUUCAAUAUAGAGUGAAUAAAUAUAGGCAGCUCAGGAAACGGCAGAAGCCAAAUUGCAAAGUACUCUGCUGCGUAUCCUUGUGACAUCAUUCUGUUUUUGCAGGCUCCAUUUGGCCUGUGAGGAAACAUGGGAACCCCAAACCCACUUUCCUGUCUUACACCAGGCAAUGGAUUGGAACCCAAUCCAUAGUUGACCAUCUUUAUCCAGGAGCCUUGAACAGUCAAGCUUUUAGGGAACACUGAAAUUAAAAACAAGGAAAAACAUGGUCUCCCAUCCAAGCUCUAUCCCAAUGUGGCCUUGAUCACACUGCACAUUGUCUGAUACUUUCAUCGGGCCCAAUGCUUUUGUUUUGCACAGACUAUCAUACAUUCAGUCUAGUUUCUCCACCAGUCAAUUCAUUGCCAUUGUCUGGAAUCACUCUCACGUUGAUCUGUACAUCUCUGAAGGGGACCAGCAGGUAUAGAUCCAUGUUAUAUCUGAUGUAAACCCUACAAUGGACAUUACCUUCAAACUUAAAAUCAGCUAUUGUUGUUUUAGUUAUCAGACCCAUACAUGUCUUUAGUUGAAGACACCGCCCAGUAAACUAACUAUCGCUACAUCAAGUCAAAAACACAUAUCAUAGUUUAGCGCGAGCAAAAGGCAAAGUUGGUCAUUUCAACAAUGUUAGCCAAAAAAAGACCUGCAGAUAUCCCCCCCUGCAUUUUCCCCCCAUCUAAGAGUGAAGGGUAACCCAGGUAAAUCACUAAGCCUUGUACACAACGCAACUCAAUACUUCAGACAGUAGCCACACAAGCAGUACUACUUUAGUUGAGCCCUAUACUAGCCUAGCGCAAUACAGACCAACACAACAUCACUUCUGGAUCAUGCCCAAACUGUACAGAAUGAUGUCCCCCCCACCCAAAAAAAAUCCUGUCUUUGCCACCAAAAUAAACAAGGUCCAAAUCAUCUAGGAGGGAGGAGUUUGUAGGAAAUAAAACCUUGUGCUUUUAUUUUUUUUAUACAAAAAUGCUUCUUGUGAUUUUUUUCUACGUUCCUUUAACUUUUCUUUUCUUUUACAAAAACAGAUCAGAGGAGGAUCUGUUGGGUGUCUGUGCUGUAGCCAGUAAGGUCGGCCACUUCUACCUCACUUUCCAACACAUCAGCGUUCAAUCCCUCCUUCUGGGCAGUAUUCACCCCUAACAAACUUCAGUGGAUACAUAAUACCUAUGGCGUUCCAGGAAGUGACGUACUUUUCUAAAGGGGUACAGGUAUUCCGACAGCCACACCAGCUCGGACAGGCUCAGAGCGAUGUCAGCGCUUUGACUGACGCGCUGGCUGGGUUCAUAAGGCUCUAAUGAGAAAGGUGAAGUAUCACUGUACAAGCUAGGUGCUGCACACACACACCAUAGGCAGCUCCUAACCCCAGCCAAAUGAAAAGCACAAAUGACAAAUGAACACCAGAAAAACAACAUUGGUGAAAGAAAAUAGAUAUUGAAGCUGCAAUUCCCCUCUUUCAUAUUACUUUAAAAUACCCAAUCAUCUGUCUAGGAGGACAAGUCGACAGCCAACGCCAGCAGGGUGAUGUAUCCAAUUCAAAUCUAAUCCAGACAGGUACGAAUUCAGCUGAAGACAUGGACCAUAAUUGCCAUGACCAUGAACAUGACCUAACUCUCUAGUUCCUCUUCUUCAACACAUUCAUGAGAUAAAGAGAAGGGAAAUCCCCCGGUGCCCACCUCCCACCUCUUAUUCAGCCCAGCCCAUAGAGCUAGUCUCCAUUUUGUCCGGUUGUUGGUGCAGUGAGGGUAAGGCCGAAGGUCACCGGGUCAAAGGGGACAUUCCAACUACCGGUGGAAUGUGGGGACUGCUAAGUCCAACACACCUUUACAGGGAUUGAAGGAGGAGAACGCGACUGGGACAUGGCAAAAACACAAAGCAGGUGGUGUGUGAUAUACGCCGAGGCUUGAUAUCCACAAAAAUCCUUGUUUUAGCAAUAAUAAUAAUAAUAAUAAUAAAAUAAAAAAAU
Molecule: non-coding RNA, 4206 nt
Organism: Oncorhynchus mykiss (rainbow trout)
Lineage: Eukaryota; Metazoa; Chordata; Actinopteri; Salmoniformes; Salmonidae
Source: RefSeq, a predicted model, not a curated record